UACGAGUGCCUCAAGCGUUAUCCGGAAUCAUUGGGCGUAAAGCGCGUGUAGGCGGCUCGGUAAGUCUGCUGUGAAAGUCCAGGGCUCAACCCUGGGAUGCCGGUGGAUACUGUCGAGCUCGAGUCCGGAAGAGGCGAGUGGAAUUCCUGGUGUAGCGGUGAAAUGCGCAGAUAUCAGGAGGAACACCAAUGGCGAAGGCAGCUCGCUGGGACGUGACUGACGCUGAGACGCGAAAGCGUGGGGAGCAAACAGG
RNAcentral lists this ribosomal RNA (253 nucleotides) under uncultured bacterium. RNAcentral describes it as "partial 16S ribosomal RNA". It matches the Rfam family "Bacterial small subunit ribosomal RNA", at positions 524 to 776 of the family's 1533-position model. The record is from RNAcentral.